CAUAAGGUUGGGCUAGGUUGAUGAAGCCACCCUGGUCCGCAGCCACGGGCGGCGACAGCUGCGGUUCCAUGGCUCGCACCCCGUGA
This 86-nucleotide transfer RNA is filed under the name Catellatospora methionotrophica. Its description in RNAcentral is "tRNA-Ala". The record is from RNAcentral. Lineage: Bacteria; Bacillati; Actinomycetota; Actinomycetes; Micromonosporales; Micromonosporaceae.